Molecule: long non-coding RNA, 4076 nt
Organism: Homo sapiens (human)
Lineage: Eukaryota; Metazoa; Chordata; Mammalia; Primates; Hominidae
Gene: FAM66D
Product: family with sequence similarity 66 member D
Source: Ensembl
GGUCUGCCUCCCGCGGCGGGCCGGGUCUCCAGGGAGGACCUGAGUUUUCUUCACCCAUUGUCAGGGAGGCGCCAUCGCCCUGGCUUUGGGGCUGGGGCCUCCGGGGAGGUUCCGGUAGGGGCGUUGGAGAGGCCGCUCUUUUUGCAAGGCCCGAGACGGCGGGCCUUGCGCAGGCCGCCCUAUUCCGCGCCCUCAGGGCGUCAGUAUCAGCCUGAGGCUGGAUACCCCCGCUGGGCCCAGAUGCCCCCGCUGGGCCCGGAGCAUCCUCCGGCGCUGCCCUCCCAGAGCCACGCAGAGGCUGAGGUGGCGCGGGGGCGGCCCUGGCUCCGCGAGAAGCGGCGGCAGCGAGGGCUGGAGGACCCGGGCUGCGGGGCUCCGGGGCGUCUGGCCUGGGUGGGACUGAGCCCAUCCAGGGACUGGGACUCCGGGGUUCUGGUGUAGGUGGAUCCGGGGCAGGCUCAGGACCAAGUCCCUCUCCUUCCACCAAGGAGCGCCCAGAGGCCGGCGGGAGCUCCAGGUUCACCUCCUCCUCCUCCAGGAAAUCCCACUUCCAACUGGAUGUCUGGAUGAACUACUGAAAGCUGCUGAGUGUCCUGCAGCAGGCCAUUUCCAAUCCAGCGGAAGACCUUCUAGAAGAGAUGAUGGUGGGAGAGUGCUGACAUACUAUGUGAAGCUACUAUUUGGAGUUGGACACGAGUGCAUGUGUCCUUGUGCCACAACGGGAAUGUGAGCUGGAUGACAAAUGGAGAUUUGGACUUGUGAUAAUUGGCCUCUGUGUCAUUGUGUGGAAGACUGACUGGUCCCUUUAUUUCCUGUAGCUUGACUACAACACAAAUGAAUCCACUCAAAUGUUGGCAAGUGGAGCAGAGUCCCAGAACAGCUACUUACACCAAGAUGAAGAUAAUUUAUUAGUUCAGGAAGAAUCUGCAUUCUGAAGACAAAUAGAAGUUCCAGCUACAGAUGGGCAGACACAUGCCCUCUCAAUUCCUGAUGGACCUCCUAGUGCCUUCUGGACCUAAGGGGCCUCCCUCAAUGUUCCAAGGUGCCACCAAGGCAGGGAUCAGCUCGUGCAUUCCUGAGAACAUCCCGGAUGAAGUGAGGCUCUGGAAAAAUGCAAGAGUUUCCACAUAAUCCCAAAAAACACUACAGGUGAACUGGAUGCCACAGAAAGAGGAGUGGUCUUUGUCACAACGAAAUCAACAAAAUUAUUUCGAAGUCAAUUAGGAAACUCAGAAAUCACUCUUGCUACCAUUAAGAGGAAGAACAGGAGCCUGUGAAUGGCAUCCCUGGCCUACCUGAGACUCCAAAGAUAUUUCUCUGUGGCUUCUGACAGCAGAAAUCUCUGUGAUUUUCAGAAAGGCAGGGACAGCUCCUGCCAGCCCAUCCUUCUGCAGAAUGUGUCCCAGCAGAUCAGUGGCAUGGAACCAUCAUGGACAGCACAAAGGCUCAAGGGCAGCAUCCCAGGCCGGCCUGUGACUCUAGAUAAGUUCUGAGUCCCCAUGGGGGCUCAGGAAAGGUUAGUGAUGACCUGGAAAGAAGGGACAGGCUGAAACCGCCCCUAAGCAAUCUGCAGGAUUCCAACUUCAGCAGGAAGCCAAGGACCAGCUAUUACCACACCUGCGCCCCCUGAAAACGCUGGAUACAAUCCCACUCUGCAGAAAGUUCCACAUAGAAGUGGCUGGGAAUUUUGCCUUCUAGACUGCAUUUUACACUGCCUCUGGACAUGUGAUGAGAAAUUUAACAUUGGUGUAUCUAACUCUGACAUUUUUCACGAAGUGAUUUUUUAAAAUAUGGUAAAAAAGACAAAAUAUAAUUCAAACAUAUGCAUUAUAUGUCAAAGUAUGCUUCGCUGGCAUCAAGUAGACUCACCUUGAGAUGCAAUCUUGGACAACCUCCAUCUUAAGAAUAUCUAGUUUUUCAAACCAAAACUCUCCAACCAAAAAUCAAUAACAUCAAAAGUUUGCAACUACAAGCCGACGGAAAAUAAAUACAUGAAUUCUACCACAGUGAAUUGGACUGCACUGGGAAACACAGAUGAAGAAAGCCAACACCGCUUUGUCCUUCAGUACCUGGCUCCCUUUUCAGCUCGUCUUGCGACUCCAGGCAUUAUGCCUGAAAAGUCUCCUGGACGCCUGUGAGGCUCUAAUUCCCUGGGUCCCAUUGUCAUGUCUCUGGAUUUGCGAAGAUUAACCGGACCUUCUGUGGAACUCCCGUGUCCCUCAACUUUUGUGACAUGUCCCCUAAUUCUGCCCAUGGUCAUCUGCACCUGCACGACUUAGGGUCCAUGUUCCUUGGACGGGAAGAGACAGGCAGGAGUCGGAAUGAUGAACCAGCACACUGGGGCAUUUUCUCAUGUAGCCCAAGUGACCCCAUGGUCUUCUUGAGCUUUGGAACCAGUCGCGUCCCCCUUGACACUGCACCCGACUCCCAGUUUCUCAAUCUUGUUGGCCCUCCGGCGAUCUCCCGUUGGAUGAAUUGCAUCUGCUGAAACUCGAGUCCCCUUUGAUUUGUGCUUCAUUAAUUAUUCAUGAUUCAGGUUGGAAGGCCUGCUGACGACCCCCUGUGGCCGUUUUCCGAGCUUUCCGGUCACAUCGUUUCCUUCCACCCUCUUUGGUUCCUUGUGGUCCUGCUCCUUCUGCUGUCAGAGGAGCAGAGAGUUGAUCUUAUUGAUUCUGGAUACGGAUACUUUGUAGGUGAUCUGGAUAAUCAAGAUAACGACCCUCAAAAGCGGCGGAAAGGGAGCAGCCAUUUGGUGUGUCUCAGCAAAUCCCGCUGAGUUCCGAGGCCGCCUAGGUAUGCAAUCCUGCUGAGAGUUGUUCCCAGGUCAGAGAAUGGAGAGAGCCUGUGCAUGAUGGGAUAUCCCUGCCUAGAUCUUUCAGUGAGUCUCUACCUCAGCUACUCUUAGGAUCAGGGGGAGAACCAUGGAAAGGCCCGGUGUCAGACAUCCGGAAAGAAGAGGGAUGAAUGUUUCACCUCUGAAGUACAUCCCAAAUGUGGGAGUUAACUUCAGCUUUGCUGGGGUCUACUUGGCCAGCGAAACUCUGCCUGGUUCAUUCGCACAUCCGGAAGCCACUUCACGGGGAGCCGUCGCAACCGGAACCACACACUUGGCAUCGGCGGUUGAGCCAAAUGGGGACUCGUGGUGCAAGCAACGCUCCCCACGUGUUAGCGUGCGUGAGAUUCAAUUGGCGGAAUUUUACUAGGUGCGUGUUGGUAGAGCGGGGCUGAGGUUUUCUUGCUCCUGUGGAUGUAUAGGAAGUCAAAGGUCCUGCCCAGCCCUGCGGUCCCCUCAGUCAACUCUGUUUCGGAGACAUAACGAUUUGGAUUGCUAACAAGUCAAGAAAUGUUCAAGUCCUUGGAUGUAGGGAAAAGAAAGAGAGAUCAGACUGUCACUGUGUCUAUGUCGAAAGGGAAGACAUAAGAGACUCUAUUUUGAAAAGGACCUGUACUUUAAACAAUUGCUUUGCUGAGAUGUUGUUCAUUUGUAGCUUUGCCCCAGCCACUUUGCCCCAGCCGCUUUGACCCAACUUGGAGCACACAAAAACCUAUGUUGUAUAAAAUCAAGGUUUAAGGGAUCUAGGGCUGUGCAGGACGUGCCUUGUUAACCAAAUGUUUACAAGCAGUAUACUUUGUAAAAGUCAUUGCCAUUCUCUAGUCUCAAUAAACCAGGGACACAAUGCACCGUGGAAAGCCGCAGGGACCUCUGCCCUUGAAAGCAGGGUAUUGUCCAAAGUUUCUCCCCAUGCGAUAGUCUGAAAUAUGGCCUCGUGGGAUGAGAAAGACCUGACUGUCCCCCAGCCUGACACCCGUAAAGCGUCUGUGCUGAGGUGUAUUAGUCAAAGAGGAAAGCCUCUUGCAGUUGACAUGGAGGAAGGCCACUGUCUCCUGCUUGCCCCUGGGAACUGAAUGUCUCGGUGUAAAACCCGAUCGUACAUUUGUUCAACUCUGAGCUCGGAGAAAAGCUGCCCUGUGGAGGGAGGCGAGACAUGUUGGCAGUAAUGCUGCCUUGUUAUUCUUUACUCCGCUGAGAUGUUUGGGUGGAGAGAGACAUAAAUCUGGCCUACGUGCACGUCCAG